UCGUUAGCGUUAUUUAUUAAACACUCGCAUGUUGUUUAUUUCAGUUUCCUCUGGUCUGAAUUCAGAAUAUUAUUUAAAAUUAUUAUUAAAACAUAGCUAACGUUGUUUUAUGAAAUGGAAAUAGUGUUUUCCUUCAAUCAUCGAAAGUAUUUUCAAAGAAUUCUGACGAGUAAAUGUUGAAUGCAUUUGCUGCAUCCCAUUAACAGUGCGUAUACGAUUAUGGAUUAAAAAUAGUUAUAAGUUUUGAAACCAUACGGCUUUGAAAAUUCAGUUUGGAGGUGUUAAUGGAAAACUUCUCUCUGAACAUUUUUCUAUGCAAGAUAGCAAUCUAAUAAAAUUUUAAAAGUAAUCAAGUUCAAAUUAGCAAGACUGCAUAGGCUGCAAAAAGACUUUCUUCUGCAAAUUUUCUAAGCUCUUCCAGACAUGUCAUAGAACUUAUGUCGAAAAAAUUCCUGAAAACUACUUUUAAGGGAGUUCAAGCAGCAUUUUUCUAAGAAGUGUUUCCAGCAGCUACCUGGGGUUAGAAGAUAUCGGAUUCUGUUGAACUUAAGAACAACAAACUUCACAUUAACAUACAAGACAAUGAACUUCACAUGAACAUACAUUGGCAUGCGAAUGUUCGGGAAGCAUAUUUCAUUACAAAAAUAAAGAUUUGAAUGCUCUUUCAAAUUUUAAAAUUGAACUACAUUCAUGCCUAUUCCGGUACUGAAAAGGAACUCCUAAGAACUGAAAAGGAAAAUACAGUGGAUACAUGGAAAGUGCCAAUAAGGUGAUCUAAGAAAACUAGUUCCAUAAAAUUUGUCAAAAAAGCCUGCUGUGCUGUGUUUUUCUCAAUUGUAAAAUUAACCAAGCUGGUUAAUUAAAAAUUAACCAACGAUUAAAUGACAUUUUCUACUCUGAAAGUUAUUUUCUUCAAUUUUGCAAAAUACUUUAGAGAAUUAGUUUUCAUUUGCUGACGGAAAAAGGUUUUCUUCACAAAUUGAAGCUGAGAAGACGUUUAAAAUUCAUUCUCCUCGGCAAUCUUCUAAUCUCCUGAAUUAUGUACAAAAGUAUUUUUCUUUGUUUCUGCGUAGGCAGGGCAUUUGAGGCAUUUUAGAGGCAAGAAACAUUUCUAAUGAAUUUGGUUAUAAGGAUGUUUUUCUUCAAACGUCAAACAUAACACCCAAAUGCUCAGUCAAAAUAUGAUGAUUAAGAUUGUCCAAAAGCAGGAUUCUUUUUUAUUAUUUUUCCGAGAUUGAAGUCUGACAAGGCAAAGCAAUUUUCUUGGCAUAUUUGCUUUCAAAACAUUAUUGUAUGUUUUACAAUUGCCAAAGAAUCAUAUUUCUGUGAAAUUUUUUCUGAGUAGUUUUGACAUGCACCAGCCAUAAAGAACGCUUGAUAUCUGACGAAAAACAGUUGCUCUGAAGUACCUGUUCUAGGGAAAAUUUUCGAGUUGUGCAUCUUAAGGAAAACUUGAUCCUUCAUACUAACAAAAUAUCAUAUGCUUACGGUUAAGAUUGUUUACUGCAGCAAGACUGAAAAAUUCCUUCAGAGUCCCUUCUGGUGUAAAAACACCUUCCUGUAAAGUUUUCUUUGAGGACGUUGUUCAAUCAGGAACUCAGACUGAAAAUCCGUUUUGGAGCUGAAUUGUAUUCCAUUGAAAUAUAUUCUUAAGAAAUUUUCUGCUUAGCAGUCUUAGUUUGGGCCUGUGUUUGGGAUUCGGUACGUGCAAAUAACCAUAUUAUUGUGCAGUGUGUUCUAAAAUAUAUUCUUAUCUAGGACAUCGUAAAGAACAUUUGAAAAACCUUGCUGGGAAGAAGCAACAUUCCUGGUAGAUCUGUUCUAAGAAAUUUUCUCUACUGAA
This is a long non-coding RNA of Uloborus diversus, 1843 nucleotides long. RefSeq lists it as uncharacterized. The record is from RefSeq and is a predicted model, not a curated record. The transcript is spliced from 3 exons. Lineage: Eukaryota; Metazoa; Arthropoda; Arachnida; Araneae; Uloboridae.